Long non-coding RNA from Daucus carota subsp. sativus, 784 nucleotides. RefSeq lists it as uncharacterized. The transcript is spliced from 3 exons. The record is from RefSeq and is a predicted model, not a curated record. Lineage: Eukaryota; Viridiplantae; Streptophyta; Magnoliopsida; Apiales; Apiaceae.
UUAUAUUGCAGUGAUAACGGUGGUCGUGUUUUUUUAGCAUGAAGACGGAUUCAACGUCGUCAACAGGUGUGAAAAGAAAUGGACGUGGAUCGUGGUAAAAGUGUUGAGACAAUUUCCAAGAAUCAAAAGAAAGCACAUGCAUCAGGUAUUCUCAUGUGGGGAGCUCAUAUGAUUCACCUAAUAUUGGAUUAAGGUAGUUAUUGGGUGAAAGUUUGGAAAGCUGGAGAGGCCUUUUUUGAAAGUAUACGACCUCCACAUAUGGGAUUGUAGCUUAGCAUUGGUGUAUGUUCUAUUUUUUUGUAUUUUUGUUCCAGUUUUUAAGUUUUUUAUAUUGUAUAGAUGACAUGAUAUUUUGUAAUUAAUUUUUUUGACAUUAUUUUUGCAUAAUUUCCUUUCGUAUUGAUAGUGAUUAUGAUGCAUAUAUGUCCACUAAUGCAUUUAUUGAUCCUUUUUUUAUGUUUGAGUUUUCUUUGCAGCUGCUGAAAAGAGAUGAUUCGUCCAGGCCACUAUCGGAUGCUCACCGUGUGAAGAUUUAUAUUCACUUUUUCUCAACAUCUGAUCAAGGCUUUUUGUUUACUUCUUAUUGCGUGUCAUUGUAUUUUGACAAGAGACACCGAGAAUGAGUACGACCCAAUUUCCGUCCAGAUACAUGAAUCUAGCCUACUAUAACUCAUAUGUGUAUAAGGAAAUGUUGUCAAAAUAUAUUUGAUUUUCGAUGAUUUUGGCAUUAAUUCUUUUUUGUAUAAUAUGUAGUGGUUUCCAUAUUCACUAUAUUCAAUUUUCA